Molecule: microRNA precursor, 115 nt
Filed under: Notamacropus eugenii (tammar wallaby)
Lineage: Eukaryota; Metazoa; Chordata; Mammalia; Diprotodontia; Macropodidae
Description: miRNA (ENSMEUG00000017339.1)
Source: RNAcentral
AGUCCUGAAGCUGCCAGAAUGUUCUGCUCAGGAGAGGAGGCUCACUGAAUUGUCUAGGCUGUCCAUUCCCCAAUGCAUCUAACCUUCUCUUGACACAGUCCAAAUGCCAUCUGCU